GGGCUCGUGGUCUAGGGGUAUGACGUCGCCUUGACAUGGCGGAGGUCCGGAGUUCAAAUCUCCGCGAGCCCA
RNAcentral lists this transfer RNA (72 nucleotides) under Candidatus Methanolliviera hydrocarbonicum. RNAcentral's name for it is "tRNA-Val". It matches the Rfam family "tRNA". Rfam says of the family: Transfer RNA (tRNA) molecules are approximately 80 nucleotides in length. Their secondary structure includes four short double-helical elements and three loops (D, anti-codon, and T loops). Lineage: Archaea; Methanobacteriati; Methanobacteriota; Candidatus Methanoliparia; Candidatus Methanoliparales; Candidatus Methanollivieraceae. The record is from RNAcentral.